Molecule: ribosomal RNA, 407 nt
Filed under: uncultured bacterium
Lineage: Bacteria
Description: partial 16S ribosomal RNA
Rfam family: Bacterial small subunit ribosomal RNA
Source: RNAcentral
AUUGAACGCUGGCGGCAGGCCUAACACAUGCAAGUCGAGCGGAGCGGCGGACGGGUGCGUAAUGCCUAGGAAUCUGCCUGGUAGUGGGGGAUAACGUCCGGAAACGGGCGCUAAUACCGCAUACUAUCAGAUGAGCCUAGGUCGGAUUAGCUAGUUGGUGGGGUAAAGGACUACCAAGGCGACGAUCCGUAACUGGUCUGAGAGGAUGAUCAGUCACACAGGAACGGAGACACGGGCCAGAGUCCUACGUGAGGAAGCAGUGGAGAAUGGUGGACAAUGGGAGAAAGCCUGAACGAGCCAUGCCGCGUGGGUGAAGAAGGUCUUAGGAUUGUAGAGCUCUAAAAGUUGGGAGGCGGUAGCAGCAGAAUAAGCGCCGGCUAACUACGUGCCAGCAGCCGCGGUAAUUC